Molecule: long non-coding RNA, 365 nt
Organism: Coregonus clupeaformis (lake whitefish)
Lineage: Eukaryota; Metazoa; Chordata; Actinopteri; Salmoniformes; Salmonidae
Exons: 2
Source: RefSeq, a predicted model, not a curated record
GUGAGCUAGCUAAAGCAUAAUCACCUGCUUUCAUUGAAUAUGGGUUAACUCCAUUUUGGGCUCUUUGGAAACCCUGUGGUGGAGGUGAAUUGAAGAAAUCCUUGGCCCUUUGGAAACCCUGUGGUGGAGGUGAAUGGAAGACAUUCUGGGCCCUUUGGCAACCCUGUGGUGGAGGGAAAUAAUCCGAUAGGCAGGGAGGAGGUGGAGUAGUUUUGGUCUGUGGAACUGAAGUUUCCAUGUCUUUUUGUCUUUUUUAUGUUGCUGUUUCAGACCCUUCAGCAGACCCUUCAGCUCAAACAUGACAGGCUUCAUAAUUGGAGAGAUGGGCAGCUCAGCCACGAUGGGCUUCACUGGUGGAGAGAUGG